This 492-nucleotide ribosomal RNA is filed under the name uncultured bacterium. Its description in RNAcentral is "partial 16S ribosomal RNA". It matches the Rfam family "Bacterial small subunit ribosomal RNA", at positions 29 to 507 of the family's 1533-position model. The record is from RNAcentral.
AGUGAACGCUGGCGGUAGGCCUAACACAUGCAAGUCGAACGGCAGCACAGUAAGAGCUUGCUCUUAUGGGUGGCGAGUGGCGGACGGGUGAGGAAUACAUCGGAAUCUACUUUUUCGUGGGGGAUAACGUAGGGAAACUUACACUAAUACCGCAUACGACCUACGGGUGAAAGCAGGGGAUCUUCGGACCUUGCGCGAUUGAAUGAGCCGAUGUCGGAUUAGCUAGUUGGCGGGGUAAAGGCCCACCAAGGCGGCGAUCCGUAGCUGGUCUGAGAGGAUGAUCAGCCACACUGGAACUGAGACACGGUCCAGACUCCUACGGGAGGCAGCAGUGGGGAAUAUUGGACAAUGGGCGCAAGCCUGAUCCAGCCAUACCGCGUGGGUGAAGAAGGCCUUCGGGUUGUAAAGCCCUUUUGUUGGGAAAGAAAAGCAGCAGGUUAAUACCCCGCUGUUCUGACGGUACCCAAAGAAUAAGCACCGGCUAACUUCGUG